Molecule: ribosomal RNA, 301 nt
Filed under: uncultured bacterium
Lineage: Bacteria
Description: partial 16S ribosomal RNA
Rfam family: Bacterial small subunit ribosomal RNA
Source: RNAcentral
CAGCAGCCACGGUAAUACGGAGGGUGCAAGCGUUAAUCGGAAUUACUGGGCGUAAAGCGCACGCAGGCGGCUUCUUAAGUCGGAUGUGAAAUCCCUGAGCUUAACUUAGGAAUUGCAUUCGAUACUGGGAAGCUAGAGUAUGGGAGAGGAUGGUAGAAUUCCAGGUGUAGCGGUGAAAUGCGUAGAGAUCUGGAGGAAUACCGAUGGCGAAGGCAGCCAUCUGGCCUAAUACUGACGCUGAGGUACGAAAGCAUGGGGAGCAAACAGGAUUAGAUACCCGUGUAGUCCCUGUCUCUUAUAC